AUUGAACGCUGGCGGCAGGCCUAACACAUGCAAGUCGAGCGGAUGAAGGGAGCUUGCUCCUGGAUUCAGCGGCGGACGGGUGAGUAAUGCCUAGGAAUCUGCCUGGUAGUGGGGGAUAACGUCCGGAAACGGGCGCUAAUACCGCAUACGUCCUGAGGGAGAAAGUGGGGGAUCUUCGGACCUCACGCUAUCAGAUGAUCCUAGGUCGGAUUAGCUAGUUGGUGGGGUAAAGGCCUACCAAGUCGACGAUCCGUAACUGGUCUGAGAGGAUGAUCAGUCACACUGGAACUGAGACACGGUCCAGACUCCUACGGGAGGCAGCAGUGGGGAAUAUUGGACAAUGGGCGAAAGCCUGAUACAGCCAUGCCGAGUGUGUGAAGAAGGUCUUCGGAUUGUAAAGCACUUUAAGUUGGGAGGAAGGGCAGUAAGUUAAUACCUUGCUGUUUUGACGUUACCAACAGAAUAAGCACCGGCUAACUUCGUG
This 484-nucleotide ribosomal RNA is filed under the name uncultured bacterium. RNAcentral's name for it is "partial 16S ribosomal RNA". It matches the Rfam family "Bacterial small subunit ribosomal RNA", at positions 30 to 507 of the family's 1533-position model. The record is from RNAcentral.